UACGUAGGGCGCAAGCGUUGUCCGGAAUUAUUGGGCGGAAAGAGCUCGUAGGCGGUUUGUCGCGUCUGCCGUGAAAGUCCGGGGCUCAACUCCGGGUCUGCGGUGGGUACGGGCAGACUAGAGUGAUGUAGGGGAGACUGGAAUUCCUGGUGUAGCGGUGAAAUGCGCAGAUAUCAGGAGGAACACCGAUGGCGAAGGCAGGUCUCUGGGCAUUAACUGACGCUGAGGAGCGAAAGCAUGGGGAGCGAACAGG
RNAcentral lists this ribosomal RNA (253 nucleotides) under uncultured bacterium. RNAcentral's name for it is "partial 16S ribosomal RNA". It matches the Rfam family "Bacterial small subunit ribosomal RNA", at positions 524 to 776 of the family's 1533-position model. The record is from RNAcentral.